UAAAUAUAUGUCAUUUCAAAACCACAUUUCUGAAAAAAGUGUAGUUUUUAAUAUUUGUAUAAUUUUGUAAGUCUUUUACAUGAAUAUACCAUACGGGAAAAAUUGUUAACGAUUCAAAGAGCCUUUGUUAUAAAUAUUUUACUUUAAAAUAUUAUUAUUCAGCGGCAGCUUAGUAUGGAUUCUGUAAGUGUUAACAUUUUAAAUUUGUAUAGUUGAAUAUUGUACAUCCAAAUAAGUUUUUUCAUAAGUAAUUAAUGUGCUGAAAUAAAAAAAUGUAUAUUCACAUUUUUUUGUAUUUUUUGAGAUAUUUUAAGUUCAAAAUUGGUCAAAAUUAGAUAUUUAGGCAACGAAUAACGAUUUUAGUUAUGUAUUAAAUAUUAAAUUGUAUGCACAGAAUGAUAUUUUCGAAUGGAAUUUCUUUGUCAAACAAUAAUUUAAUGUAGGUACUGCAUUACUACAACGUCUAGUUGAUAAAUAAAUAAUUGUAAUAGCAAUAAUAUCAUAAGAUAUACUUAUCAAUAAAGGCAGACUUUGGCUCAAAAUCAUAUUGGGUGUAUAAUGAUUUUAUAUCAUUAAGUUUGUGAUGCAUUCAUUAAAGUGACUGUUCUAGACACGUCUUGUCCACCUUUUUACUAAAAGUUUUUACUUUCUCAUGAACUAUGAUAUUUUAGCAAAAGUUUGGACACAAUCUGUCAAAGUGGAAAGGACAACUUCACACACAUAUAAUACGCAAUUGAAUUGAACUAUAUACUGUCAUAUUUUAAUCGCUCGUACCGUUCCAAAACCGUCGAAGACCGUUUUUCAAGCUCCAAGUGCUGAAGUCUGGCACCCAAUCAAAAUUGAUUUUCGGAGAUUUGCUUGGAUUGCAUAUUCUCAAUGUGUGACGAGAGAUUAUGACCAAUUGGUUAAUAUUUUUUUAAAUCAUCUUUGUAUCAAAAUGUUUACUUAAUGAGACAGUGAUCUUAAGUUACUGUCCAACUUUGUUUAUAUGAUUUAACUUGGUAAAAACAACAAUAAUUAAAAGUAAAAAAAUUAAAAAA
This is a long non-coding RNA of Myzus persicae (green peach aphid), 1040 nucleotides long. RefSeq lists it as uncharacterized. Lineage: Eukaryota; Metazoa; Arthropoda; Insecta; Hemiptera; Aphididae. The transcript has 2 exons. The record is from RefSeq and is a predicted model, not a curated record.